This 547-nucleotide ribosomal RNA is filed under the name uncultured bacterium. RNAcentral describes it as "partial 16S ribosomal RNA". It matches the Rfam family "Bacterial small subunit ribosomal RNA", at positions 355 to 895 of the family's 1533-position model. The record is from RNAcentral.
UGGGGAAUUUUGGACAAUGGGGGCAACCCUGAUCCAGCAAUGCCGCGUGUGUGAAGAAGGCCUUCGGGUUGUAAAGCACUUUUGUCCGGGAAGAAAUCCCCUGCCCUAAUACGGCGGGGGGAUGACGGUACCGGAAGAAUAAGCACCGGCUAACUACGUGCCAGCAGCCGCGGUAAUACGUAGGGUGCGAGCGUUAAUCGGAAUUACUGGGCGUAAAGCGUGCGCAGGCGGUGAUGUAAGACCGAUGUGAAAUCCCCGGGCUCAACCUGGGAACUGCAUUGGUGACUGCAUUGCUCGAGUAUGGCAGAGGGGGGUGGAAUUCCACGUGUAGCAGUGAAAUGCGUAGAGAUGUGGAGGAACACCGAUGGCGAAGGCAGCCCCCUGGGCCAAUACUGACGCUCAUGCACGAAAGCGUGGGGAGCAAACAGGAUUAGAUACCCUGGUAGUCCACGCCCUAAACGAUGUCAACUGGUUGUCGGGCCUUCAUUGGCUUGGUAACGUAGCUAACGCGUGAAGUUGACCGCCUGGGGAGUACGGUCGCAAGAUU